Molecule: long non-coding RNA, 1391 nt
Organism: Felis catus (domestic cat)
Lineage: Eukaryota; Metazoa; Chordata; Mammalia; Carnivora; Felidae
Exons: 3
Source: RefSeq, a predicted model, not a curated record
CGGGACCGAAGCACACGGCCAGGUUCUGCGGGGUCAUGCGAUUGUGGGCGUGGAAGGAGGAGACGAGGCGCAGGUGGUCCAGGAGAAGCGUCAGCGUGGCCUGAGAGAAGAAGGUCAGUAGUCAGGAUGACCAGACUUCACUCAUGGCCACCCAGGACUCCGAAGGUGAACAGGACAGAUGCUGCAUCACCUUUCCUGACCCAGCCUUGGGUGUCAUGUUGUGUCACUUCUGGAGCCAGAUUCAUAGACCCCACUCCUCUCAGUGGGCAAUGUGUCAAGUGCCCAGGGUCUUCUUAAAAAGCUGAAGUCAGAUUCCAGCACGCCCCACCCCUGCUGUACAGUCUUUCCAUGACUGCUCAUCCCACCUAGAAUAAAACCCAGAUUCCCAGUAAGAGUUCUAGCCUCAUUUCCUUUGUUGUCUCCAUUGCUCACCAUGACCUUCUCUCUGGUCCUCCUUUACAUCAAACUGUCCCAAUCCCUUUGCACAAGUAGUUCCCUCUGUGUGGGAAGACUUGGUUCCUCUGAAUUUGCCUCUUUCUCUUCUUUAGUUCUAAAAGCACCUCCUUAGGAGGCCCUCCUUCAACACCCACCACUGUCCACUCACUAUUACCUCAUUGUAUUUCAUUUCUCUGAACACUGUCGCAGCCUGAGCUUAAUAGCUGCAAUGCUUUGUUCUAGUUCAUCUCCUUAAUUGUCUAACCUGGGACUCCACCAGAGGCUUGCCUGUUUUGUUCACUGCUGAAUGUCCAGGUGGGAGAUCAGGUGCCAGAUACCAGAGGCCUGGAUAGGAGGGGGUGGUGGCCAAGAGGUUUGCACAAGAGGAGGUCGUGAGUGUUUGCUUAUCAUGUGUCUCAGAGUGGAUGUCUGUGUUUGUCCUACUUGGAGUUUGUUGAGCUUCUUGGAUGUGUAGAUUCAUAUCUUUCAUCAACUCUGGGAGGUUUUUUUUUUUUUUUUUGGUGCAAUUAUUUCUUCAACUUUUUUUUUUUUUUUUUUAUCCUUUUCUCUCCUUCUGGGACUCCCGUUAUGUGUAUGUUAGUAUGCUUGUUAGUGUCCUACACGUCUCUCAGGUUAUGUUCAUUUGUCUUGGAUGUGUGUGUUUGGGAGGAAUCAGGCUGAAGAGCAGUAGGAUUCACCCCAGAUGUGUUUGAGGUAGCUGCAGACAGUGGGGAGAGAGGUCAGGGUCAACACAACACCUGUUCACAAGUCCAAGGCAGGGGGUACAGGAAGAGGGCCCCAUCAGGGAGGGUACCCCAGAGCCUCCAAGAAGCUGGAGGCUGAUGUGGGGAUGAGAUCAGCCCUUAGAAUCACCCAUCAAAUGAUUAAAAAACAUUCAACCACUGGGGUGCCUGGGUGGCUCAGUCGGUUAAGCAUGUGAAUCUUGAUUUUGGCUC